ACAUCGACUUUGACGGAGACAAGUACGGCAUCGCGGGUUACAGAGAGUUGGCGGACGGUGCAAGCCAAUGCCCAGCGCGCCGGAAAUCCCCUCCCGAGUUGCGCUCCGCAACGCACUGCGAAUAAGGAGCGCCGGCUGCGCCCGUUAACGCGCACCAGAGGCCGGGCCGAUAUGGCCCGGCAAACCCAGGUGGCACCACGAGCCCCCUUCGUCCUGGAA
Molecule: non-coding RNA, 219 nt
Filed under: Promineifilum breve (SeqCode)
Lineage: Bacteria; Bacillati; Chloroflexota; Ardenticatenia; Promineifilales (SeqCode); Promineifilaceae (SeqCode)
Description: Candidatus Promineofilum breve T-box
Rfam family: T-box leader
About the family: Uncharged tRNA acts as the effector for transcription antitermination of genes in the T-box leader family. T-boxes are found upstream of many aminoacyl-tRNA synthetase genes and some amino acid biosynthetic genes usually in Gram-positive bacteria.
Source: RNAcentral